AACUAACGCUGGCGGCGUGCCUAACACAUGCAAGUCGAACGAGAAAGUUGGCUUCGGCCGAUGAGUAAAGUGGCGCACGGGUGAGUAACGCGUGGAUAAUCUGCCCUUUAGUUUGGAAUAACGUACCGAAAGGUGCGCUAAUACCGGAUAAUACUGAAUGACUACUGUCGUUUAGUCAAAGAAGGCUUCUGUUUACAUGCUUUUGCUGAAGGAUGAGUCCGCGUACCAUUAGCUAGUUGGUAGGGUAAUGGCCUACCAAGGCGACGAUGGUUAGCUGGUCUGAGAGGAUGAUCAGCCACACUGGAACUGAGACACGGUCCAGACUCCUACGGGAGGCAGCAGUGAGGAAUAUUGCGCAAUGGGGGCAACCCUGACGCAGCAACGCCGCGUGAGUGAGGAAGGUUUUCGGACCGUAAAGCUCUGUCGAGCGGGAAGAAAUGCAUGGUGGCUAAUAUCCAUCAUGCUUGACGGUACCGCUAAAGG
This 483-nucleotide ribosomal RNA is filed under the name uncultured bacterium. RNAcentral describes it as "bacterial SSU rRNA". It matches the Rfam family "Bacterial small subunit ribosomal RNA", at positions 29 to 487 of the family's 1533-position model. The record is from RNAcentral.